GACGAACGCUGGCGGCGUGCUUAACACAUGCAAGUCGAACGGAAAGGCCCUGCUUUUGUGGGGUGCUCGAGUGGCGAACGGGUGAGUAACACGUGAGUAACCUGCCCUUGACUUUGGGAUAACUUCAGGAAACUGGGGCUAAUACCGGAUAGGAGCUCCUGCUGCAUGGUGGGGGUUGGAAAGUUUCGGCGGUUGGGGAUGGACUCGCGGCUUAUCAGCUUGUUGGUGGGGUAGUGGCUUACCAAGGCUUUGACGGGUAGCCGGCCUGAGAGGGUGACCGGCCACAUUGGGACUGAGAUACGGCCCAGACUCCUACGGGAGGCAGCAGUGGGGAAUAUUGCACAAUGGGCGGAAGCCUGAUGCAGCAACGCCGCGUGCGGGAUGACGGCCUUCGGGUUGUAAACCGCUUUCGCCUGUGACGAAGCGUGAGUGACGGUAAUGGGUAAAGAAGCACCGGCUAACUACGUGCCAGCAGCCGCGGUGAUACGUAGGGUGCGAGCGUUGUCCGGAUUUAUUGGGCGUAAAGGGCUCGUAGGUGGUUGAUCGCGUCGGAAGUGUAAUCUUGGGGCUUAACCCUGAGCGUGCUUUCGAUACGGGUUGACUUGAGGAAGGUAGGGGAGAAUGGAAUUCCUGGUGGAGCGGUGGAAUGCGCAGAUAUCAGGAGGAACACCAGUGGCGAAGGCGGUUCUCUGGGCCUUUCCUGACGCUGAGGAGCGAAAGCGUGGGGAGCGAACAGGCUUAGAUACCCUGGUAGUCCACGCUGUAAACGGUGGGUACUAGGUGUGGGGUCCAUUCCACGGGUUCCGUGCCGUAGCUAACGCUUUAAGUACCCCGCCUGGGGAGUACGGCCGCAAGGCUAAAACUCAAAGGAAUUGACGGGGCCCCGCACAAGCGGCGGAGCAUGCGGAUUAAUUCGAUGCAACGCGUAGAACCUUACCUGGGUUUGACAUGGAUCGGGAGUGCUCAGAGAUGGGUGUGCCUCUUUUGGGGUCGGUUCACAGGUGGUGCAUGGCUGUCGUCAGCUCGUGUCGUGAGAUGUUGGGUUAAGUCCCGCAACGAGCGCAACCCUUGUUCACUGUUGCCAGCACGUUAUGGUGGGGACUCAGUGGAGACCACCGGGGUCAACUCGGAGGAAGGUGGGGAUGACGUCAAGUCAUCAUGCCCCUUAUGUCCAGGGCUUCACGCAUGCUACAAUGGCUGGUACAGAGAGUGGCGAGCCUGUGAGGGUGAGCGAAUCUCGGAAAGCCGGUCUCAGUUCGGAUUGGGGUCUGCAACUCGACCUCAUGAAGUCGGAGUCGCUAGUAAUCGCAGAUCAGCAACGCUGCGGUGAAUACGUUCCCGGG
This 1343-nucleotide ribosomal RNA is filed under the name uncultured bacterium. RNAcentral's name for it is "16S ribosomal RNA". It matches the Rfam family "Bacterial small subunit ribosomal RNA", at positions 28 to 1378 of the family's 1533-position model. The record is from RNAcentral.